This 72-nucleotide transfer RNA is filed under the name Actinomycetes bacterium. RNAcentral describes it as "tRNA-Arg". It matches the Rfam family "tRNA". Rfam says of the family: Transfer RNA (tRNA) molecules are approximately 80 nucleotides in length. The record is from RNAcentral. Lineage: Bacteria; Bacillati; Actinomycetota; Actinomycetes.
GCCCCCGUAGCUCAGUGGAUAGAGCGUCGGUUUCCUAAACCGUGAGCGAAGGUUCGAUUCCUUCCGGGGGCG